GACGAACGCUGGCGGCGUGCUUAACACAUGCAAGUCGAACGAUGAAGCCUAGCUUGCUAGGUGGAUUAGUGGCGAACGGGUGAGUAAUACGUGAGUGACCUACCUUUGACUCUGGGAUAAGCCUGGGAAACUGGGUCUAAUACCGGAUACGACCAAUCUCCGCAUGGGGUGUUGGUGGAAAGCGUUAUGGAGUGGUUUUAGAUGGGCUCACGGCCUAUCAGCUUGUUGGUGAGGUAAUGGCGUACCAAGGCGACGACUGGUAGCCGGCCUGAUAGGGUGACCGGCCACACUGGGACUGAGAUACGGCACGGCCUACUACGGGAGGCAGCAGUGGGGAAUAGUGCACAAUGGGCGCAAGCCUAAUGCAGCGACGCCGCGUGAGGUAUGACGGCCUUCGGGUAGUAAACCUCUGUUAUCAUCGAAGAAGCGAAAGUGACGGUAGGUGCAGAGAAAGCGCCGGCUAACUACGUG
This 471-nucleotide ribosomal RNA is filed under the name uncultured bacterium. RNAcentral describes it as "partial 16S ribosomal RNA". It matches the Rfam family "Bacterial small subunit ribosomal RNA", at positions 28 to 507 of the family's 1533-position model. The record is from RNAcentral.